This 246-nucleotide long non-coding RNA is filed under the name Elaeis guineensis (African oil palm). Its description in RNAcentral is "long non-coding RNA (EGUI_LNC036442)". Lineage: Eukaryota; Viridiplantae; Streptophyta; Magnoliopsida; Arecales; Arecaceae. The record is from RNAcentral.
UUGUAGAUGUGCGGGCAUGCUAUCGGCGUUGAUUAUUUUCGGCUGGUCACAGUGGUUCAGUUGUAUCGGGAACAUGCAACCACUCUAUUAGCAAAGAGUUACUGUGGGAUAAAGAUGAGGUUUGGCCCAAUAACUGUUAAGUGAGGGACCCAAUGACGGCUUUACACCUGCUUGUAAAUGGUGGGUCUGACUUAACUAAGAAGUAUGAACAAUAACUGUUAAGUGAGCCCACAUGACUUAGAGACC